AGGGUUCGAUUCUGGCUCAGGAUGAACGCUAGCGAUAGGCCUAACACAUGCAAGUCGAGGGGCAUCACAUGAAGUAGCAAUGCGGAUGGUGGCGACCGGCGCACGGGUGAGUAACACGUAUGCAACCUGCCUUCAACAAGGGGAUAACCCGUUAGAAAGACGGACUAAUACCCUAUAACACAGGGGCCCCGCAUGGGGAUAUUUGUUAAAGAUUAAUCGGUUGAAGAUGGGCAUGCGUUCCAUUAGCUAGUUGGUGGGGUAAUGGCCCACCAAGGCAACGAUGGAUAGGGGAACUGAGAGGUUUAUCCCCCACACUGGUGCUGAGACACGGACCAGACUCCUACGGGAGGCAGCAGUGAGGAAUAUUGGUCAAUGGACGCAAGUCUGAACCAGCCACGUCGCGUGAAGGAAGACGGCCCUACGGGUUGUAAACUUCUUUUGCAAGGGAAUAAAGUGAGUCACGUGUGACUUUUUGCAAGUACCUUGCGAAUAAGGAUCGGCUAACUCCGUGCCAGCCGCUGC
RNAcentral lists this ribosomal RNA (522 nucleotides) under uncultured bacterium. RNAcentral describes it as "bacterial SSU rRNA". It matches the Rfam family "Bacterial small subunit ribosomal RNA", at positions 8 to 518 of the family's 1533-position model. The record is from RNAcentral.